UAGCACUGAAGCUAGACACCUCUCCUCAGGUCCAAUCCUACACAGAUGGACGCACAUGAGGUACUAAACACAUUCUAACAACUCAUAAGAAACUCCCCAAAAACCCCUCUAAACAUCACUGAAACAUGCAUAGAAAACAGCCAUGAAAAAGGCUGGACAGGCACUUUCGGCGGCACCUUCGGCGGCCGAAAGUCUCCUCCAGAGACGAAACUCGGGUAGGUUCGGCGGCACCUUCGGCGGCCGAACCCUCUCUCCAGAGACGAAAGUCAGGCACUUUCGGCGGCCGAACAUUACCUUCGGCGGCCGAAAGUCUGCUUUCAAGCCACAACUCAACUUUCGGGGGCAAGGUUAGGCGGCCAAACCUAUGCAUCCAACGGCACGUUCGGCGGCCGAAACCACCUUCGGCGGCCGAACCUGAGUUCAUCAGAACUCAGCCUUUGCAUACCAGCCUCCAAAACCUUCCAAAACACCCCGAACCUCACAUACUCUCUCCCAAGCAUGCAUACACACUCCCACAAGCAUAGAGAGCAAAGAAACUAGCUUAAACUCCUCAACACAUCAUCACAUAACAUACAUUGGGCAUAAAACCCAC
RNAcentral lists this long non-coding RNA (592 nucleotides) under Manihot esculenta (cassava). RNAcentral describes it as "long non-coding RNA (MESC_LNC000972)". The record is from RNAcentral. Lineage: Eukaryota; Viridiplantae; Streptophyta; Magnoliopsida; Malpighiales; Euphorbiaceae.